Molecule: ribosomal RNA, 468 nt
Filed under: uncultured bacterium
Lineage: Bacteria
Description: partial 16S ribosomal RNA
Rfam family: Bacterial small subunit ribosomal RNA
Source: RNAcentral
GACGAACGCUGGCGGCGUGCUUAACACAUGCAAGUCGAACGGAAAGGCCCUGCUUUUGUGGGGUGCUCGAGUGGCGAACGGGUGAGUAACACGUGAGUAACCUGCCCUUGACUUUGGGAUAACUUCAGGAAACUGGGGCUAAUACCGGAUAGGAGCUCCUGCUGCAUGGUGGGGGUUGGAAAGUUUCGGCGGUUGGGGAUGGACUCGCGGCUUAUCAGCUUGUUGGUGGGGUAGUGGCUUACCAAGGCUUUGACGGGUAGCCGGCCUGAGAGGGUGACCGGCCACAUUGGGACUGAGAUACGGCCCAGACUCCUAAGGGAGGCAGCAGUGGGGAAUAUUGAACAAUGGGCGGAAGCCUGAUGCAGCAACGCCGCGUGCGGGAUGACGGCCUUCGGGUUGUAAACCGCUUUCGCCUGUGACGAAGCGUGAGUGACGGUAAUGGGUAAAGAAGCACCGGCUAACUACGUG